CGCAGGUCUCUCUCCAAAUAAUCAUUGUGACCAACUGCUGUCAGAAUGGCUGCAUCAUUGAGAUUCACUGAUCCAGGCAACCCCAUAUCAUCAGACCAACACUCACUAAUGAAUACUUCCCGGGACUCCGGCAUGGCGAGACUAAAGAGCAGCGCAGAUCUGCUGACCAGAAGCCUGUCCUCCUGUUUAUCUCCACAAGCAUCACCCACAGAAUGGCCUUUGGCACCUUGGAGCUGCGAGACACCUUUACAUGAUGACCAACAUUGUCACUGUUAAAACUUGACCAUUCUUCACCAAGCCUCAGGUGACACGAGUGACUUUUGUACUCUUUUGCUAGGCUUGCCAUGAGACUGUGUGGCUUAA
RNAcentral lists this long non-coding RNA (363 nucleotides) under Fukomys damarensis (Damara mole-rat). RNAcentral describes it as "lncRNA (ENSFDAG00000030179.1)". The record is from RNAcentral. Lineage: Eukaryota; Metazoa; Chordata; Mammalia; Rodentia; Bathyergidae.